Molecule: ribosomal RNA, 334 nt
Filed under: Escherichia coli
Lineage: Bacteria; Pseudomonadati; Pseudomonadota; Gammaproteobacteria; Enterobacterales; Enterobacteriaceae
Description: partial 23S ribosomal RNA
Rfam family: Bacterial large subunit ribosomal RNA
Source: RNAcentral
ACUCAGUGAAAUUGAACUCGCUGUGAAGAUGCAGUGUACCCGCGGCAAGACGGAAAGACCCCGUGAACCUUUACUAUAGCUUGACACUGAACAUUGAGCCUUGAUGUGUAGGAUAGGUGGGAGGCUUAGAAGUGUGGACGCCAGUCUGCAUGGAGCCGACCUUGAAAUACCACCCUUUAAUGUUUGAUGUUCUAACGUUGACCCGUAAUCCGGGUUGCGGACAGUGUCUGGUGGGUAGUUUGACUGGGGCGGUCUCCUCCUAAAGAGUAACGGAGGAGCACGAAGGUUGGCUAAUCCUGGUCGGACAUCAGGAGGUUAGUGCAAUGGCAUAAGC